UGGGGAAUAUUGGACAAUGGGCGAAAGCCUGAUCCAGCCAUGCCGCGUGUGUGAAGAAGGUCUUCGGAUUGUAAAGCACUUUAAGUUGGGAGGAAGGGCAGUAAGCGAAUACCUUGCUGUUUUGACGUUACCGACAGAAUAAGCACCGGCUAACUCUUUGCCAGCAGCCGCGGUAAUACAGAGGGUGCAAGCGUUAAUCGGAAUUACUGGGCGUAAAGCGCGCGUAGGUGGUUCGUUAAGUUGAAUGUGAAAGCCCCGGGCUCAAACUGGGAACUGCAUCCAAAACUGGCGAGCUAGAGUAGGGCAGAGGGUGGUGGAAUUUCCUGUGUAGCGGUGAAAUGCGUAGAUAUAGGAAGGAACACCAGUGGCGAAGGCGACCACCUGGGCUCAUACUGACACUGAGGUGCGAAAGCGUGGGGAGCAAACAGG
Molecule: ribosomal RNA, 429 nt
Filed under: Pseudomonadota bacterium
Lineage: Bacteria; Pseudomonadati; Pseudomonadota
Description: Proteobacteria bacterium partial 16S ribosomal RNA
Rfam family: Bacterial small subunit ribosomal RNA
Source: RNAcentral